Molecule: non-coding RNA, 1116 nt
Organism: Macaca mulatta (Rhesus monkey)
Lineage: Eukaryota; Metazoa; Chordata; Mammalia; Primates; Cercopithecidae
Source: RefSeq, a predicted model, not a curated record
UGAUAGAGUGAAAACCUGUCUCAAAAAAAAAAAAAAAAAAAAAAAAAUGAGUAGGAACUAGGUACUUGAAGCUUUUCACCAUGUCGUCCUUACUUCUCUUUUUCGGACUUUUUUCUUGACUAAAAAUUUACUCUCUGGCAACACCAAAAUGUUUGUAUACCAGCCCUCCGCCAUCCUGCUGACAUCACAAUGCUUCUUUCUCUUGCUUUGUUUCUUUGCUUAUGUUGUUCUCACUGCCUGAAAUGUUCCCUUACACUCCAUCACCAAUACCACAAUUCCCCCAUCACUAGCAUCCCUUUCUCUCUGCUGUUACUCACACUUUAGCCCAAGACUCACCAACUCCACGAGUCUUUCCAAGUUCCAUUACUCCCAGCCAGUCAUUAAACUUCACAUUCAAUAAGAGCUCACAUGUGUCAAGCCUCCUGAGUGUUCUUUCUGCUCAUCCACCCGCUCCCCUCGGACUUCAGCAUGGGCUGGACCUCGACCCUAGGAUCUGACAAUUGGCCAUGAGGAUGGGAUGAGCCAACACCUUUAUUGGAAAGUUUCUUGAGCUGACAGUUCAUUUGAAAUUUAUCCCUGAGAAGUUUGCACUGUGGAUCCUGCCUUUAUAAGAUGCUGACUUAUUUCCUUCACUCCUUCAACUGCAUGUGGGCAGACUAGGAAGGAACUAGCAGGAUUUCCUGAAUGAUAGACAUUCUCCUCCUUAUCUCCAGUCAUACGUCAGCAAUCCUACCUCUCUCCUUGAUAGUAAGAAUCAUUUACCCUAGAUAACACAAUAGAUAAGGAAUAUGGUAAUUGAAGUUCUUCCCACUUGAAGGUGUUUCCAUUCCCACUGACCUUCCAGACCACUCAAAAUGGUAAAAGCAGAGCCGUAACGAUCCAGUUUUGUGUAGUGCCAGGAUGCCAUGAAGAACCAUCUGUAAGCCAGACUUGAGGUUUGUUUUUCAUUUUUUUUCCUCAACUAGUCAGAGGGAAUUCUGAAUGAGGCCCAGGUAUGUCCUGAGGGCUAACUAUUAACAUGCAGCAGGAUUAGGCAUUGACAUGGUUUGGUUGUGUCUCCCCCCAAAUCUCAUCUUGAAUUGUAGCUUCCAUAAUUCCCAGAUGUUGUGGGAGGGU